GGGCGGAUAGCUCAGUUGGUAGAGCAACGGACUGAAAAUCCGUGUGUCGCCGGUUCAACUCCGGCUCCGCCCA
RNAcentral lists this transfer RNA (73 nucleotides) under Planctomycetota bacterium. Its description in RNAcentral is "tRNA-Phe". It matches the Rfam family "tRNA". Rfam says of the family: Transfer RNA (tRNA) molecules are approximately 80 nucleotides in length. Their secondary structure includes four short double-helical elements and three loops (D, anti-codon, and T loops). Lineage: Bacteria; Pseudomonadati; Planctomycetota. The record is from RNAcentral.